Molecule: unclassified non-coding RNA, 285 nt
Filed under: Hevea brasiliensis (rubber tree)
Lineage: Eukaryota; Viridiplantae; Streptophyta; Magnoliopsida; Malpighiales; Euphorbiaceae
Source: RNAcentral
AUAUUGAAUCAUCAGCACAUAGUGAUAGAGAGGGUCUGAUGGAAGGAAGCCAAGACUCCCAGCUGCUUUAACAAGCCAAAGACCAAUUACAGGAAGUACCACAUAUCGAACAAAAACCACAGCAACGAUGAUCCAUGGCUUGAUUCUUGAUGACUUGAAACCUUGAAUAAGGUUGCCUCCAAGGAUAAGAGUAAUACAAGGCAGUGUUCCUUCCCCAAGUAAUGUGAUGGAGUCUUGGAUCACAUGCAGGGGAGCACCACUACCAAUUAUCAGCUUUCUCAGGAA